UGGGUCGAUGCCCGAGCGGUUAAUGGGGACGGACUGUAAAUUCGUUGACGAUAUGUCUACGCUGGUUCAAAUCCAGCUCGCCCCAG
RNAcentral lists this transfer RNA (86 nucleotides) under Yoania japonica. Its description in RNAcentral is "tRNA-Tyr". It matches the Rfam family "tRNA". From Rfam's summary of the family: Transfer RNA (tRNA) molecules are approximately 80 nucleotides in length. The record is from RNAcentral. Lineage: Eukaryota; Viridiplantae; Streptophyta; Magnoliopsida; Asparagales; Orchidaceae. RNAcentral also lists the same sequence under 1 other name.